AGCGCAGGCGGGAAACUAAGCGGAUCUUAAAAGUGCGGGGCUCAACCCCGUGAUGGGGUCCGAACUGGUUUUCUUGAGUGCAGGAGAGGAAAGCGGAAUUCCCAGUGUAGCGGUGAAAUGCGUAGAUAUUGGGAAGAACACCAGUGGCGAAGGCGGCUUUCUGGACUAUAACUGACGCUGAGGCUCGAAAGCUAGGGUAGCGAAG
This 205-nucleotide ribosomal RNA is filed under the name uncultured bacterium. RNAcentral describes it as "partial 16S ribosomal RNA". It matches the Rfam family "Bacterial small subunit ribosomal RNA", at positions 568 to 773 of the family's 1533-position model. The record is from RNAcentral.